RNAcentral lists this transfer RNA (101 nucleotides) under Amycolatopsis bartoniae. Its description in RNAcentral is "tRNA-Asp". Lineage: Bacteria; Bacillati; Actinomycetota; Actinomycetes; Pseudonocardiales; Pseudonocardiaceae. The record is from RNAcentral.
GGCGGCCGCUCGCGCGCGGGUGAGGGCGUGCGCCGGCCGUCGCUCGGCGCCGCGGUGCCGUUCGAGCCGAGCGGGUCGGGGUCGCCGUCGAACAGGUGCUG